GUUUUUGCAUGAACGUGAGUGACUCAUUUUAGAUAACAAACAAUAUUCAUGUUGAUCAGUGAGCUGAUGUCAUUAAUGACAUGGGAAGCAUAAAGCAGUCAAUCUACAAAAAAAUAUAAAGAAGUAAUGGUAAUUAAACAUAUGAGAUGAGAUUAUGUAUUAGGGAAAUUUUUUAAUAUGUUAAACACUCACUGCAUUUGUCUAAGAGAGAGUCUAUCCUUGAAAGAGAAUUGACAUGCCAUCGAUGUUAGUGGACUCUUCGUGUUUUUGGCAAGAGAGUUAAAUCCCUAAUCAGUGAUGACACUGAGAGAUAGCCUGAGGCUUUAUCGGGAACAAUUAGAAGGAGACUGAAUUUUUAAACUCAAUUAACAACACCGAAAUGAGUGUGGCAGAAAGUGCCACAUUGGAAGAUAACUUUCUCUUACUGCAUGUGAAUUAUUCAAGGAGGAUUUUUUUUCUUAUAAUAUCGAUUAUUUUUGAUGGAAACUGUAAAAGGUUAUUAUGGAGGUCUUUGGGGAGUUUCAGAAUAAAUGAAAAAUGUGCCGUGGACAUUGAAUUAAUCUUGAUUAUAACGUUGCUACAAUGACCUGUGAAUGGGGCGGUCAGUAUUUUUUUUUUUUUACUACAUUCACUUCAUUCCCUGUUGAAUGGACUUGAAUUUAAUCGUGAUUACAUUUACAGUCAGACAGUUAGAAACUGUUCUGUAUGAGAGAUGUCAAAGUGUAAAAAAUGCUGCUUCGUGAUCUACUAUUAGGCUCUUUUUAUGACAAAUCUUAAGCAGCAUUAACUUAUGCACCCACUACAAAGACAACAUAUUUCUGAGCGACUGAGACCUAGAAAUUUAUCAGACAAGCGUUAAACUUUUAAGCUUUAAUUAAAGACACCAUCAACAAAUGCAAAAGGAAAAUUGACCCACGUAAAAGUUGAUGAGAAGCAACAGAGAGAACAUCAUUGUGUUAUAGGCCCUUAUGUACUUUAUUAGAUUAUUUAAAAAAAAAAAAUCAACAUGCUGUAGUAAUCUUCGUGUUAUUGUUAUACUGAGAGC
Long non-coding RNA from Astatotilapia calliptera (eastern happy), 1045 nucleotides. The record is from Ensembl. NCBI's taxonomy places the organism in Eukaryota, Metazoa, Chordata, Actinopteri, Cichliformes, Cichlidae.